GUGUCAGCCGCCGCGGUAAUACGUAGGACGCAAGCGUUAUCCGGAUUUACUGGGCGUAAAGAGCGCGUAGGCGGUUUCGUAAGUUGGGCGUGAAAGCCCCCGGCUUAACUGGGGAGGGUCGUUCAAUACUGCGGAACUUGAGGGUGGAUGAGGAGACUGGAAUUCCCGGUGUAGUGGUGAAAUGCGUAGAUAUCGGGAGGAACACCUGUGGCGAAGGCGAGUCUCUAGGCCACUUCUGACGCUGAGGCGCGAAAGCGUGGGUAGCGAACGGAAUUAGAUACUCCGGUAGUCCACGCCCUAAACGAUGGACACUAGGUGUGGUGGGUAUCGACCCCUGCCGUGCCGUAGUCAACACAAUAAGUGUCCCGCCUGGGGACUACGAGCGCAAGCUUAAA
This 395-nucleotide ribosomal RNA is filed under the name uncultured bacterium. RNAcentral describes it as "bacterial SSU rRNA". It matches the Rfam family "Bacterial small subunit ribosomal RNA", at positions 505 to 898 of the family's 1533-position model. The record is from RNAcentral.